ACUAAGCGUACACGGUGGAUGCCCUGGCAGUCAGAGGCGAUGAAGGACGUGCUAAUCUGCGAUAAGCGUCGGUAAGGUGAUAUGAACCGUUAUAACCGGCGAUUUCCGAAUGGGGAAACCCAGUGUGAUUCGUCACACUAUCAUUAACUGAAUCCAUAGGUUAAUGAGGCGAACCGGGGGAACUGAAACAUCUAAGUACCCCGAGGAAAAGAAAUCAACCGAGAUUCCCCCAGUAGCGGCGAGCGAACGGGGAGCAGCCCAGAGCCUGAAUCAGUGUGUGUGUUAGUGGAAGCGUCUGGAAAGGUGCGCGAUACAGGGUGACAGCCCCGUACACAAAAAUGCACAUGCUGUGAGCUCGAUGAGUAGGGCGGGACACGUGGUAUCCUGUCUGAAUAUGGGGGGACCAUCCUCCAAGGCUAAAUACUCCUGACUGACCGAUAGUGAACCAGUACCGUGAGGGAAAGGCGAAAAGAACCCCGGCGAGGGGAGUGAAAAAGAACCUGAAACCGUGUACGUACAAGCAGUGGGAGCACGCUUAGGCGUGUGACUGCGUACCUUUUGUAUAAUGGGUCAGCGACUUAUAUUCUGUAGCAAGGUUAACCGAAUAGGGGAGCCGAAGGGAAACCGAGUCUUAACUGGGCGUUAAGUUGCAGGGUAUAGACCCGAAACCCGGUGAUCUAGCCAUGGGCAGGUUGAAGGUUGGGUAACACUAACUGGAGGACCGAACCGACUAAUGUUGAAAAAUUAGCGGAUGACUUGUGGCUGGGGGUGAAAGGCCAAUCAAACCGGGAGAUAGCUGGUUCUCCCCGAAAGCUAUUUAGGUAGCGCCUCGUGAAUUCAUCUCCGGGGGUAGAGCACUGUUUCGGCAAGGGGGUCAUCCCGACUUACCAACCCGAUGCAAACUGCGAAUACCGGAGAAUGUUAUCACGGGAGACACACGGCGGGUGCUAACGUCCGUCGUGAAGAGGGAAACAACCCAGACCGCCAGCUAAGGUCCCAAAGUCAUGGUUAAGUGGGAAACGAUGUGGGAAGGCCCAGACAGCCAGGAUGUUGGCUUAGAAGCAGCCAUCAUUUAAAGAAAGCGUAAUAGCUCACUGGUCGAGUCGGCCUGCGCGGAAGAUGUAACGGGGCUAAACCAUGCACCGAAGCUGCGGCAGCGACGCUGAUGCGUUGUUGGGUAGGGGAGCGUUCUGUAAGCCUGUGAAGGUGUGCUGUGAGGCAUGCUGGAGGUAUCAGAAGUGCGAAUGCUGACAUAAGUAACGAUAAAGCGGGUGAAAAGCCCGCUCGCCGGAAGACCAAGGGUUCCUGUCCAACGUUAAUCGGGGCAGGGUGAGUCGACCCCUAAGGCGAGGCCGAAAGGCGUAGUCGAUGGGAAACAGGUUAAUAUUCCUGUACUUGGUGUUACUGCGAAGGGGGGACGGAGAAGGCUAUGUUGGCCGGGCGACGGUUGUCCCGGUUUAAGCGUGUAGGCUGGUUUUCCAGGCAAAUCCGGAAAACUAAGGCUGAGGCGUGAUGACGAGGCACUACGGUGCUGAAGCAACAAAUGCCCUGCUUCCAGGAAAAGCCUCUAAGCAUCAGGUAACAUCAAAUCGUACCCCAAACCGACACAGGUGGUCAGGUAGAGAAUACCAAGGCGCUUGAGAGAACUCGGGUGAAGGAACUAGGCAAAAUGGUGCCGUAACUUCGGGAGAAGGCACGCUGAUAUGUAGGUGAAGUCCCUCGCGGAUGGAGCUGAAAUCAGUCGAAGAUACCAGCUGGCUGCAACUGUUUAUUAAAAACACAGCACUGUGCAAACACGAAAGUGGACGUAUACGGUGUGACGCCUGCCCGGUGCCGGAAGGUUAAUUGAUGGGGUUAGCGCAAGCGAAGCUCUUGAUCGAAGCCCCGGUAAACGGCGGCCGUAACUAUAACGGUCCUAAGGUAGCGAAAUUCCUUGUCGGGUAAGUUCCGACCUGCACGAAUGGCGUAAUGAUGGCCAGGCUGUCUCCACCCGAGACUCAGUGAAAUUGAACUCGCUGUGAAGAUGCAGUGUACCCGCGGCAAGACGGAAAGACCCCGUGAACCUUUACUAUAGCUUGACACUGAACAUUGAGCCUUGAUGUGUAGGAUAGGUGGGAGGCUUUGAAGUGUGGACGCCAGUCUGCAUGGAGCCGACCUUGAAAUACCACCCUUUAAUGUUUGAUGUUCUAACGUUGACCCGUAAUCCGGGUUGCGGACAGUGUCUGGUGGGUAGUUUGACUGGGGCGGUCUCCUCCUAAAGAGUAACGGAGGAGCACGAAGGUUGGCUAAUCCUGGUCGGACAUCAGGAGGUUAGUGCAAUGGCAUAAGCCAGCUUGACUGCGAGCGUGACGGCGCGAGCAGGUGCGAAAGCAGGUCAUAGUGAUCCGGUGGUUCUGAAUGGAAGGGCCAUCGCUCAACGGAUAAAAGGUACUCCGGGGAUAACAGGCUGAUACCGCCCAAGAGUUCAUAUCGACGGCGGUGUUUGGCACCUCGAUGUCGGCUCAUCACAUCCUGGGGCUGAAGUAGGUCCCAAGGGUAUGGCUGUUCGCCAUUUAAAGUGGUACGCGAGCUGGGUUUAGAACGUCGUGAGACAGUUCGGUCCCUAUCUGCCGUGGGCGCUGGAGAACUGAGGGGGGCUGCUCCUAGUACGAGAGGACCGGAGUGGACGCAUCACUGGUGUUCGGGUUGUCAUGCCAAUGGCACUGCCCGGUAGCUAAAUGCGGAAGAGAUAAGUGCUGAAAGCAUCUAAGCACGAAACUUGCCCCGAGAUGAGUUCUCCCUGACUCCUUGAGAGUCCUGAAGGAACGUUGAAGACGACGACGUUGAUAGGCCGGGUGUGUAAGCGCAGCGAUGCGUUGAGCUAACCGGUACUAAUGAACCGUGAGGCUUAACC
This 2893-nucleotide ribosomal RNA is filed under the name Escherichia coli. RNAcentral's name for it is "bacterial LSU rRNA". It matches the Rfam family "Bacterial large subunit ribosomal RNA". The record is from RNAcentral. Lineage: Bacteria; Pseudomonadati; Pseudomonadota; Gammaproteobacteria; Enterobacterales; Enterobacteriaceae.